GCCCAAAUCAAAGGAACUUACUUCUUCAAGCUCUUCUGGCAGCGGUUCUGACAGUGAUGUUGACAAAAAGUUAAAGAGGAAAAAGCAGGUUGCUCCAGAAAGACCUGUAAAGAAGCAAAAGACUGGUGAAACUUGAAGAGCUCUAUCAUCUUCCAAAGAGAACAGCAGCAGCAGCACAGAUGAUAACAUGAUAAGGUGAAAUGAAACCAGGAAGAGAAGGUAUUUCUUUGAAUUUGGAGCAAAGAAGCCAGCUGAAGGAACAGAUU
RNAcentral lists this long non-coding RNA (266 nucleotides) under Homo sapiens (human). RNAcentral describes it as "non-protein coding lnc-VSX2-1:1". Lineage: Eukaryota; Metazoa; Chordata; Mammalia; Primates; Hominidae. The record is from RNAcentral.